GGCGUAGGAAAUUUGAGAAGACCUGUCCUUAGUACGAGAGGACCGGGAUGGACGUACCUCUGGUGUACCAGUUGUCCUGCCAAGGGCAUGGCUGGGUAGCUAUGUACGGAAUGGAUAAGCGCUGAAAGCAUCUAAGCGCGAAGCCAACUUCAAGAUAAGAUUUCCCACCGCAAGGGUAAGACCCCAGAAAGACUAUCUGGUUGAUAGGUCGAAGGUGUAAGUGCAGUAAUGUAUUUAGCUUAUCGAUACUAAUAGGUCGAGGACUUGACCAAU
Molecule: ribosomal RNA, 273 nt
Filed under: Clostridioides difficile
Lineage: Bacteria; Bacillati; Bacillota; Clostridia; Peptostreptococcales; Peptostreptococcaceae
Description: partial 23S ribosomal RNA
Rfam family: Bacterial large subunit ribosomal RNA
Source: RNAcentral